RNAcentral lists this long non-coding RNA (208 nucleotides) under Trifolium pratense (red clover). RNAcentral describes it as "long non-coding RNA (TPRA_LNC008647)". The record is from RNAcentral. Lineage: Eukaryota; Viridiplantae; Streptophyta; Magnoliopsida; Fabales; Fabaceae.
GCUGAAAAGCUAGCUGAUAGCUGAAAAGCUAGCUUAUUGAAAUUAAAGUGUUUGGUAAAAUUAGCUUUUAAAGUGGUUAUUAAAUAUAAAAUUACAUAAUUGAUAGUGGGUAGUUUAUUUUUUAGAGUGGGUAGUUAUUAAAUUAAAGGGUAAAAAUGGAAUAAAGUGUAAAAAGCUAUAAGCUAUAAGCUCAAAUGCUACUUGAAAU